RNAcentral lists this ribosomal RNA (175 nucleotides) under Gogangra viridescens. RNAcentral's name for it is "partial 12S rRNA". The record is from RNAcentral. Lineage: Eukaryota; Metazoa; Chordata; Actinopteri; Siluriformes; Sisoridae.
CACCGCGGUUAUACGAAAGACCCUAGUUGAUUGCCACGGCGUAAAGGGUGGUUAGGGAGACUAAAAAUAAAGCUAAAGACCCUCUAAGCCGUCAUACGCAUUCCGAGGACACGAAGCCCAAACACGAAAGUAGCUUUAAACUAUAUUAUUACCUGACUCCACGAAAGCUAAGAAA